This 497-nucleotide ribosomal RNA is filed under the name uncultured bacterium. Its description in RNAcentral is "partial 16S ribosomal RNA". It matches the Rfam family "Bacterial small subunit ribosomal RNA", at positions 28 to 507 of the family's 1533-position model. The record is from RNAcentral.
GAUGAACGCUGGCGGCGUGCCUAAUACAUGCAAGUAGAACGCUGAAGGAAGGAGCUUGCUCUUUCCGGAUGAGUUGCGAACGGGUGAGUAACGCGUAGGUAACCUGCCUGGUAGCGGGGGAUAACUAUUGGAAACGAUAGCUAAUACCGCAUAACAGUAGAUGUUGCAUGAUAUCUACUUAAAAGGUGCAAUUGCACCACUACCAGAUGGACCUGCGUUGUAUUAGCUAGUUGGCGAGGUAACGGCUCACCAAGGCGACGAUACAUAGCCGACCUGAGAGGGUGAUCGGCCACACUGGGACUGAGACACGGCCCAGACUCCUACGGGAGGCAGCAGUAGGGAAUCUUCGGCAAUGGACGGAAGUCUGACCGAGCAACGCCGCGUGAGUGAAGAAGGUUUUCGGAUCGUAAAGCUCUGUUGUAAGAGAAGAACGAGUGUGAGAGUGGAAAGUUCACACUGUGACGGUAUCUUACCAGAAAGGGACGGCUAACUACGUG